AGCGUACACGGUGGAUGCCCUGGCAGUCAGAGGCGAUGAAGGACGUGCUAAUCUGCGAUAAGCGUCGGUAAGGUGAUAUGAACCGUUAUAACCGGCGAUUUCCGAAUGGGGAAACCCAGUGUGAUUCGUCACACUAUCAUUAACUGAAUCCAUAGGUUAAUGAGGCGAACCGGGGGAACUGAAACAUCUAAGUACCCCGAGGAAAAGAAAUCAACCGAGAUUCCCCCAGUAGCGGCGAGCGAACGGGGAGCAGCCCAGAGCCUGAAUCAGUGUGUGUGUUAGUGGAAGCGUCUGGAAAGGCGCGCGAUACAGGGUGACAGCCCCGUACACAAAAAUGCACAUGCUGUGAGCUCGAUGAGUAGGGCGGGACACGUGGUAUCCUGUCUGAAUAUGGGGGGACCAUCCUCCAAGGCUAAAUACUCCUGACUGACCGAUAGUGAACCAGUACCGUGAGGGAAAGGCGAAAAGAACCCCGGCGAGGGGAGUGAAAAAGAACCUGAAACCGUGUACGUACAAGCAGUGGGAGCACAGAGCAAUCUGUGUGACUGCGUACCUUUUGUAUAAUGGGUCAGCGACUUAUAUUCUGUAGCAAGGUUAACCGAAUAGGGGAGCCGAAGGGAAACCGAGUCUUAACUGGGCGUUAAGUUGCAGGGUAUAGACCCGAAACCCGGUGAUCUAGCCAUGGGCAGGUUGAAGGUUGGGUAACACUAACUGGAGGACCGAACCGACUAAUGUUGAAAAAUUAGCGGAUGACUUGUGGCUGGGGGUGAAAGGCCAAUCAAACCGGGAGAUAGCUGGUUCUCCCCGAAAGCUAUUUAGGUAGCGCCUCGUGAAUUCAUCUCCGGGGGUAGAGCACUGUUUCGGCAAGGGGGUCAUCCCGACUUACCAACCCGAUGCAAACUGCGAAUACCGGAGAAUGUUAUCACGGGAGACACACGGCGGGUGCUAACGUCCGUCGUGAAGAGGGAAACAACCCAGACCGCCAGCUAAGGUCCCAAAGUCAUGGUUAAGUGGGAAACGAUGUGGGAAGGCCCAGACAGCCAGGAUGUUGGCUUAGAAGCAGCCAUCAUUUAAAGAAAGCGUAAUAGCUCACUGGUCGAGUCGGCCUGCGCGGAAGAUGUAACGGGGCUAAACCAUGCACCGAAGCUGCGGCAGCGACACUGUGUGUUGUUGGGUAGGGGAGCGUUCUGUAAGCCUGCGAAGGUGUGCUGUGAGGCAUGCUGGAGGUAUCAGAAGUGCGAAUGCUGACAUAAGUAACGAUAAAGCGGGUGAAAAGCCCGCUCGCCGGAAGACCAAGGGUUCCUGUCCAACGUUAAUCGGGGCAGGGUGAGUCGACCCCUAAGGCGAGGCCGAAAGGCGUAGUCGAUGGGAAACAGGUUAAUAUUCCUGUACUUGGUGUUACUGCGAAGGGGGGACGGAGAAGGCUAUGUUGGCCGGGCGACGGUUGUCCCGGUUUAAGCGUGUAGGCUGGUUUUCCAGGCAAAUCCGGAAAAUCAAGGCUGAGGCGUGAUGACGAGGCACUACGGUGCUGAAGCAACAAAUGCCCUGCUUCCAGGAAAAGCCUCUAAGCAUCAGGUAACAUCAAAUCGUACCCCAAACCGACACAGGUGGUCAGGUAGAGAAUACCAAGGCGCUUGAGAGAACUCGGGUGAAGGAACUAGGCAAAAUGGUGCCGUAACUUCGGGAGAAGGCACGCUGAUAUGUAGGUGAAGUCCCUCGCGGAUGGAGCUGAAAUCAGUCGAAGAUACCAGCUGGCUGCAACUGUUUAUUAAAAACACAGCACUGUGCAAACACGAAAGUGGACGUAUACGGUGUGACGCCUGCCCGGUGCCGGAAGGUUAAUUGAUGGGGUUAGCGCAAGCGAAGCUCUUGAUCGAAGCCCCGGUAAACGGCGGCCGUAACUAUAACGGUCCUAAGGUAGCGAAAUUCCUUGUCGGGUAAGUUCCGACCUGCACGAAUGGCGUAAUGAUGGCCAGGCUGUCUCCACCCGAGACUCAGUGAAAUUGAACUCGCUGUGAAGAUGCAGUGUACCCGCGGCAAGACGGAAAGACCCCGUGAACCUUUACUAUAGCUUGACACUGAACAUUGAGCCUUGAUGUGUAGGAUAGGUGGGAGGCUUUGAAGUGUGGACGCCAGUCUGCAUGGAGCCGACCUUGAAAUACCACCCUUUAAUGUUUGAUGUUCUAACGUGGACCCGUGAUCCGGGUUGCGGACAGUGUCUGGUGGGUAGUUUGACUGGGGCGGUCUCCUCCUAAAGAGUAACGGAGGAGCACGAAGGUUGGCUAAUCCUGGUCGGACAUCAGGAGGUUAGUGCAAUGGCAUAAGCCAGCUUGACUGCGAGCGUGACGGCGCGAGCAGGUGCGAAAGCAGGUCAUAGUGAUCCGGUGGUUCUGAAUGGAAGGGCCAUCGCUCAACGGAUAAAAGGUACUCCGGGGAUAACAGGCUGAUACCGCCCAAGAGUUCAUAUCGACGGCGGUGUUUGGCACCUCGAUGUCGGCUCAUCACAUCCUGGGGCUGAAGUAGGUCCCAAGGGUAUGGCUGUUCGCCAUUUAAAGUGGUACGCGAGCUGGGUUUAGAACGUCGUGAGACAGUUCGGUCCCUAUCUGCCGUGGGCGCUGGAGAACUGAGGGGGGCUGCUCCUAGUACGAGAGGACCGGAGUGGACGCAUCACUGGUGUUCGGGUUGUCAUGCCAAUGGCACUGCCCGGUAGCUAAAUGCGGAAGAGAUAAGUGCUGAAAGCAUCUAAGCACGAAACUUGCCCCGAGAUGAGUUCUCCCUGACUCCUUGA
Molecule: ribosomal RNA, 2788 nt
Filed under: Escherichia coli
Lineage: Bacteria; Pseudomonadati; Pseudomonadota; Gammaproteobacteria; Enterobacterales; Enterobacteriaceae
Description: bacterial LSU rRNA
Rfam family: Bacterial large subunit ribosomal RNA
Source: RNAcentral